RNAcentral lists this ribosomal RNA (1543 nucleotides) under Pseudomonas aeruginosa BL14. RNAcentral describes it as "bacterial LSU rRNA". It matches the Rfam family "Bacterial large subunit ribosomal RNA", at positions 1402 to 2925 of the family's 2925-position model. The record is from RNAcentral. Lineage: Bacteria; Pseudomonadati; Pseudomonadota; Gammaproteobacteria; Pseudomonadales; Pseudomonadaceae.
CUGAAAAGCGUAGUCGAUGGGAAACAGGUUAAUAUUCCUGUACUUCUGGUUACUGCGAUGGAGGGACGGAGAAGGCUAGGCCAGCUUGGCGUUGGUUGUCCAAGUUUAAGGUGGUAGGCUGAAAUCUUAGGUAAAUCCGGGGUUUCAAGGCCGAGAGCUGAUGACGAGUCGUCUUUUAGAUGACGAAGUGGUUGAUGCCAUGCUUCCAAGAAAAGCUUCUAAGCUUCAGGUAACCAGGAACCGUACCCCAAACCGACACAGGUGGUCGGGUAGAGAAUACCAAGGCGCUUGAGAGAACUCGGGUGAAGGAACUAGGCAAAAUGGCACCGUAACUUCGGGAGAAGGUGCGCCGGCUAGGGUGAAGGAUUUACUCCGUAAGCUCUGGCUGGUCGAAGAUACCAGGCCGCUGCGACUGUUUAUUAAAAACACAGCACUCUGCAAACACGAAAGUGGACGUAUAGGGUGUGACGCCUGCCCGGUGCCGGAAGGUUAAUUGAUGGGGUUAGCGCAAGCGAAGCUCUUGAUCGAAGCCCCGGUAAACGGCGGCCGUAACUAUAACGGUCCUAAGGUAGCGAAAUUCCUUGUCGGGUAAGUUCCGACCUGCACGAAUGGCGUAACGAUGGCGGCGCUGUCUCCACCCGAGACUCAGUGAAAUUGAAAUCGCUGUGAAGAUGCAGUGUAUCCGCGGCUAGACGGAAAGACCCCGUGAACCUUUACUGUAGCUUUGCACUGGACUUUGAGCCUGCUUGUGUAGGAUAGGUGGGAGGCUUUGAAGCGUGGACGCCAGUUCGCGUGGAGCCAUCCUUGAAAUACCACCCUGGCAUGCUUGAGGUUCUAACUCUGGUCCGUAAUCCGGAUCGAGGACAGUGUAUGGUGGGCAGUUUGACUGGGGCGGUCUCCUCCUAAAGAGUAACGGAGGAGUACGAAGGUGCGCUCAGACCGGUCGGAAAUCGGUCGUAGAGUAUAAAGGCAAAAGCGCGCUUGACUGCGAGACAGACACGUCGAGCAGGUACGAAAGUAGGUCUUAGUGAUCCGGUGGUUCUGUAUGGAAGGGCCAUCGCUCAACGGAUAAAAGGUACUCCGGGGAUAACAGGCUGAUACCGCCCAAGAGUUCAUAUCGACGGCGGUGUUUGGCACCUCGAUGUCGGCUCAUCACAUCCUGGGGCUGAAGCCGGUCCCAAGGGUAUGGCUGUUCGCCAUUUAAAGUGGUACGCGAGCUGGGUUUAGAACGUCGUGAGACAGUUCGGUCCCUAUCUGCCGUGGACGUUUGAGAUUUGAGAGGGGCUGCUCCUAGUACGAGAGGACCGGAGUGGACGAACCUCUGGUGUUCCGGUUGUCACGCCAGUGGCAUUGCCGGGUAGCUAUGUUCGGAAAAGAUAACCGCUGAAAGCAUCUAAGCGGGAAACUUGCCUCAAGAUGAGAUCUCACUGGGAACUUGAUUCCCCUGAAGGGCCGUCGAAGACUACGACGUUGAUAGGCUGGGUGUGUAAGCGUUGUGAGGCGUUGAGCUAACCAGUACUAAUUGCCCGUGAGGCUUGACCAU